AGGGCAGUUCAUCACAUCCUGAAAUAUGUAAAAUGCAUUGUCAUCUUGAAGUGGAUUUUUAUUUCCACCAACUAAAACAGAUAAAAUAGCACAAGACCUUUGCUCCAGGUUGCUAACAUGCUGCUCUUUGACAUCUAUGAAUGAAACGCUUGGCAACCCUUUGAAAUACAUUUGUGCUAUUCUUUGCAUCAACAGCAAGGUUCCUCUGAGUCAUAAAGUCUACAGCUUUGCUCUUCAAGAAAAAGUGGGCCAAGGAGUAAUUAUGACAAGGCACCAGGAUGCUGAGAUUCUUGAUAUCAGGGAUUUGCAUCCAGACCACUUUGCACAAUAUUGCCUAGCUGUCUCUUAGAUCUUUACUGAUCAGAUCUGCCAAAAGGCCAAUUCUCCAAAUUCACCUUGCACAUAAGGCAAAGUCUGGGAUAAGGUGGGAAAGAAGAUGGAAAGGUGGUUGGGAGCCCCUCCUGGGGGCUCUGAUUUCUGGGAAGGCUGU
This is a long non-coding RNA of Pogoniulus pusillus (Red-fronted tinkerbird), 490 nucleotides long. RefSeq lists it as uncharacterized. NCBI's taxonomy places the organism in Eukaryota, Metazoa, Chordata, Aves, Piciformes, Lybiidae. The record is from RefSeq and is a predicted model, not a curated record. The transcript has 5 exons.